UAUAUAUAUGUAGUUUACCCCGUCAGACGAACGCUGGCGGCGUGCCUAAUACAUGCAAGUCGAACGAACUCUGGUAUUGAUUGGUGCUUGCAUCAUGAUUUACAUUUGAGUGAGUGGCGAACUGGUGAGUAACACGUGGGAAACCUGCCCAGAAGCGGGGGAUAACACCUGGAAACAGAUGCUAAUACCGCAUAACAACUUGGACCGCAUGGUCCGAGUUUGAAAGAUGGCUUCGGCUAUCACUUUUGGAUGGUCCCGCGGCGUAUUAGCUAGAUGGUGGGGUAACGGCUCACCAUGGCAAUGAUACGUAGCCGACCUGAGAGGGUAAUCGGCCACAUUGGGACUGAGACACGGCCCAAACUCCUACGGGAGGCAGCAGUAGGGAAUCUUCCACAAUGGACGAAAGUCUGAUGGAGCAACGCCGCGUGAGUGAAGAAGGGUUUCGGCUCGUAAAACUCUGUUGUUAAAGAAGAACAUAUCUGAGAGUAACUGUUCAGGUAUUGACGGUAUUUAACCAGAAAGCCACGGCUAACUACGUGCCAGCAGCCGCGGUAAUACGUAGGUGGCAAGCGUUGUCCGGAUUUAUUGGGCGUAAAGCGAGCGCAGGCGGUUUUUUAAGUCUGAUGUGAAAGCCUUCGGCUCAACCGAAGAAGUGCAUCGGAAACUGGGAAACUUGAGUGCAGAAGAGGACAGUGGAACUCCAUGUGUAGCGGUGAAAUGCGUAGAUAUAUGGAAGAACACCAGUGGCGAAGGCGGCUGUCUGGUCUGUAACUGACGCUGAGGCUCGAAAGUAUGGGUAGCAAACAGGAUUAGAUACCCUGGUAGUCCAUACCGUAAACGAUGAAUGCUAAGUGUUGGAGGGUUUCCGCCCUUCAGUGCUGCAGCUAACGCAUUAAGCAUUCCGCCUGGGGAGUACGGCCGCAAGGCUGAAACUCAAAGGAAUUGACGGGGGCCCGCACAAGCGGUGGAGCAUGUGGUUUAAUUCGAAGCUACGCGAAGAACCUUACCAGGUCUUGACAUACUAUGCAAAUCUAAGAGAUUAGACGUUCCCUUCGGGGACAUGGAUACAGGUGGUGCAUGGUUGUCGUCAGCUCGUGUCGUGAGAUGUUGGGUUAAGUCCCGCAACGAGCGCAACCCUUAUUAUCAGUUGCCAGCAUUAAGUUGGGCACUCUGGUGAGACUGCCGGUGACAAACCGGAGGAAGGUGGGGAUGACGUCAAAUCAUCAUGCCCCUUAUGACCUGGGCUACACACGUGCUACAAUGGAUGGUACAACGAGUUGCGAACUCGCGAGAGUAAGCUAAUCUCUUAAAGCCAUUCUCAGUUCGGAUUGUAGGCUGCAACUCGCCUACAUGAAGUCGGAAUCGCUAGUAAUCGCGGAUCAGCAUGCCGCGGUGAAUACGUUCCCGGGCCUUGUACACACCGCCCGUCACACCAUGAGAGUUUGUAACACCCAAAGUCGGUGGGGUAACCUUUUAGGAACCAGCCGCCUAAGGUGGGACAGAUGAUUAGGGUGAAGUCGUAACAAGGUAACCGUAAAG
This 1539-nucleotide ribosomal RNA is filed under the name Lactiplantibacillus pentosus. RNAcentral's name for it is "bacterial SSU rRNA". It matches the Rfam family "Bacterial small subunit ribosomal RNA". Lineage: Bacteria; Bacillati; Bacillota; Bacilli; Lactobacillales; Lactobacillaceae. The record is from RNAcentral.